Molecule: RNA transcript, 7882 nt
Organism: Cryptomeria japonica (Japanese cedar)
Lineage: Eukaryota; Viridiplantae; Streptophyta; Pinopsida; Cupressales; Cupressaceae
Gene name: beta-glucosidase 22
Exons: 9
Source: RefSeq, a predicted model, not a curated record
GUAAUUAAAUUCAUUCAUUCAAUCUAUACUCAAUAUCUCUACAUUUACUUUUAUAGAUAGAGAACCGCUCAUAUAAUGGUACCUGUGAAAACUCUCUAGGCGGAUCAAAGCCUUAGCUCGUUUGAUUUUUGCUUGCAAGGUGCGGCGUGCCUAACUCUAUGAAAGAAGCUGCAAAAAUUCAACGAUUAUAAUGUAUUCGCUUAAGAUUUUGGCCUCUGCUUCCUCAGACUUCUCAUUUUUCAAGCGCACGAAACCUCUCUGAUCCAGAAACCCUAGGAUUAAUGUCAUUCUUAUACACCGGAUUUACAACAGUUCGAGAGGAAAUUACAGCAGCUUAAAGUUAUCAAUCAUGGACGCCUAAGCCUCUUUGCAGCCGUUCAUACUCGAGUGACAAUCUUUCAACAUUCUUGUUUUUACAUUCUUAGCAUAAUGGGAUGUUGAAGUUAAAACCUCUGGAACUUUUCCUUUGUAUUCGAGGUAUGCGCCUACAUAUUGGCUCAACAAGAAGGUAAGUAGAUUAAUGUCCACAUAUUCAGAACUGUGCUCAAGCAUAAAGUUUAUGUGGCAUCUGAUCUUUUGCAGGUAUAUGCCAAAUACCGAAGGACUUAGGAUGCACGUCAAAUGUUUUACAAAAUGUCUAGGGGAGAUGAGAGCCAACGGAAUGUAAUGGUCUGUAGGGUGCACAGGUGCACCCAACAAAGGAAUAAUGCGUCUGAGGAUCUCUAGGUGGAGCUUUAACUAGUAGGCUACCAUCAGCAGGGAAGCUCUCAAUAUCCUCUGCGGGAUAACACCCAAACCAAAUUCGUGAGCCAAAUGAUCUUUUGCAAGAUUGGGCUUGCAAUAGCUAAAAUAAUGGAUUGGAUUGAGCGAAAUGAUAGAUGUUGUGUGGUUUGGAGAAAAUUUAUAGCAUUCUCUUUUCCAGAACUGGAAACAAAGGGAAAAUGGCCAGAAGAUCACACAUUUAUUCUUGAAAGCCUGUUACAAACAAACGAAAAGUAGAAACAAUUUUUUUUUACCAAUAAUAAAAUGUUGUCUUACCCAUUUUAGACGCCUCCUUCAGCUGUCGCAGUCUCUCUACAGUCUACAGCUGCUGUUUCAAUCUAUUGCCAAGAAAACAAAAGUGGAUCUAAAAUUUUUGGGGUUAAGCUACUAGAUUCUUGAGCUCGACCCAAGAUUUUUGCAGCCUGUUAAAUGACAAUAUUGAAUGCAAGUUAAAAUUUGUUUUCAUUGCCAUUCCUAUUUCUUGACAUAUAUGCAAGAAUGUGGAAACCUAGACAAGGCAUGUGGACUGUUUGCAUGUUUGGGCUGGGAGUGCUUUUAAUGCCUAGAGGAGGGAAAAAAAACAACCAAAUUAAUUGUCUCGUGAAACGAGAAUGGUAGCCAGCCAGUGAAGCAGUCCUUGGAGGGAUGUGCAUUCUCUUGCAUCGAAUACCUACAAACAAUUCCUGACAUUCUGCAACCGAAAACAGAGGUCAAUAACACUGUGCCAAAAAACUUUGAACUAAUAUUUGCCUAAAAAAUAUGCAGCUUCACUGAUGCAAGUAGCAAUGGAAAACAAAUCUUUAAAAAGGCUGAAUUCUGAUUGGCCGUUCAUGUGUAGUUUAAUCUGCCUCCCUCCGCUAUAGUUCCAUGGCAGGAACUAAUAAGCUGAUGCUGAUGUCAAAUAUUGAGGAAUGGGAUAGCGAGGCUGAAAGAAAGGACAAAUUUUUCUAUAUUUGAUGAUGCUUUUGCUAGUAACAGUGACAUGGCUUCCACUUUUCUAGAGUUUCAUAGCUAGUAUAUGUGAAUUCAAAGGUGAAAAUUUUGUAUCCUAAGGGAGCAAGUAUUUUAUUUCUUCAUUUGUUGAAUCAAAGUAACUUAGAUUCAGACUCGUCAUUCAUAAGAUGAUUUUAUGAUGGCUUAAUUAUAGACUUUAAAUGUGGCUUCCUAACUUUAAUCUUAAUUACAUAAAAAUUCACAAAUAAUUCUCACAGUUUCAUUUUAGCUUGGAAAGUACCCGACCAUUUUCAAUGUCUUUCAGCUUUCACAAAGUUCGCUUCAAGGAAAUGAUUACAUUUCUCACACAUUUUUGUUGUGGGUGCUUUUCCAUUUUCAUAUGCUUGCUUGUAUUAAACUAUAUUUGAAUCUAAUAAGAAAUAUUGAAUUUUUGGGUUUAAAGUCUUAUUGUAUGUAUCAUUAUCUCUUAAAUCUUUCAAAUAUUGAUUAUAUUUUUGUCUAUAAAUAUAGAUGAUUAUGUCUGCAGUUUUAUAUUUGAAAUUUAUGAAGAAAUGUUGAAUUUUUUCGUCUAAAUCUUAUGCCAUUUAUUGCAAUCUCUUAAAGCUUCUAAAUAUUUGCUAUUUUUUUAAAUCUAAGAAAUUGUGAAUUUUGACAAAAUGAGAUUAUGAUUGGUAUUGUUAACUCUUUUGAUACCAAAUAUAAAAAAUGAUUAUGGUUACUAUGUGAAUGUAAAUGUGGACCAGGAGCUUCCAACUUCAGUCACUCUGUCCUUAAAGUAUGGAGCUUGCGUGCAAAAAUUUGAUUAUGAGUCUAUGUUGGUUGUUUGUAUAAAGUGCCACAAGUCUAGUCACUUUGUUGUUGUUUUCCGCCAAUAGUAGGGCACAUAAUUCCUAGAAAAAGAAUGGAAGAUAUAGGCAACCUUAGGAUGAACAAGCUUAUGUUGUUAAUUGGCUUUCAAUGGGAAGGAUUUUAUCUAGUCGAAAAUUGGCUACUCUAGUCGUUAACUCUUUGAUGGAGGUGGGUGUGGAGAUGCCUUAUACCAACAAUUUUACCUUAUCUUUGCAUGCCAUCUCUAGCCAAGGGAAAAAGAAAAAUACAAAAUGGUGCCCAAGUGAUCUUUUGGCUCAAGGUUUCUUUAUUCAAAAUUUCUAAAAAUAAUUUCCAUUUCUUCCCUACAAUUGAAAUUAUAUCAAAAUAAAAUAAAAAUUGUAAUGAAAUCUGUAUUUCAAUAAAAUAUUUGUAAUAAGUGAAAAAUAUAUAAUUGUGUAACCAUUUAAAGUGGGUUAAUUGAAAUAGGAUGCCAAGGAAACACAAAUGCAACAUAUAAUUUGUACUGUAGCCACAUUUAAGAAGCCAUAAAAUCCUUCUCCAUUAAAAUUUAAACAAAGCAGAGUAACACAUAAUAAUAGUAUAUACAAAAAAAUGCUUGAAAUUGGGAAGAAAUAAGAAAUUUUACGGCUCUUGGGACUCCACCACAACGUCAAGCUCUUACGAGAGGCUGAAAUGACGAAGUUGGUGGCGUAAACCCUAGUGUUCUUGUUGACAAGGUCUAUGAGAUGAUCCACUAAGUUCUCAAGGGGACCUUUUCCAAUGACAAGUGGCUUACACGAAGAAGUUGAACAUAGAGAACAUGGUGAGGCACUAGUUCUUUAGCUCCUCGAUGUUCAACUCAACAAAAGCCUCCUUGAGUUGAUUAUGACACCUCUAGCAUUGCGAAGACAACAUUUUAGUAGCUUCUAGAAAGAACAUGCAUUUUGAGUUUUUUCCCUCAUAUUUCUUUCAAGAAUGGAUUGCAUGCAUUUUUGCCCUUGUUUGUUCUUAGAGGGAGAAAUGUUGUUUGUUGACCUUACGUUAUUUUUGUAUUUGCAAUCGAACAUCCAUUAUUUGUUUUUGGUAACCAUAGGGGUAUCUCUAUGACCCAGCCUAGCACCCAACCUGUUGGGGAUAAAGAAGGGGCGAGUUGGGGUGAGACUAAUCCCUUGGGGAUGUACCAAGCCACCUGCAAGCCAGGUGCAUCGGGUGCGUCCAAGCCUUGAAGUUAAACCCAAGACCAAUGGGGAGCAAACCCACGACUCAAGCCAACUUUGCUAUCUGUGUGGGCAACAUCCAUUAUUGACAUAAGAAAUUAUAUAUUGGGAGAGGGGCUACAUGGUCUCUCUUAUUCUCCCAGUUCUUUCACAAUUUUCUAUAUGGAGUUUAAUCUUUCUUAGUUUGUUUAAGUAGGAUUACCUAGUCUUGCUAUUUUCAUCAUCUCUCUUGGGGAAAUUUUAUCUUAUGGCUUUUCUUUAUCUUUUUUUUUGAGGGGAUUAUUUUGUACAUGGGUAUCUAUCAUGGCUACACAUUUGUUGGGAUUCAAUUAUUUAUUUUUCCUACCAAAUUAAGCUCCACUUAUGUUGGGGUGUUGGUUUGCAUUUAGUUGAUUAUUUUAUUGCAUUAUAUGCACCUAAGAUAUAAUAAGCUUGUUUAUGUAAGUCGGUUGUAAUUGUGACUUGUACUUCCCUCGUGUAGUGGAAUUGUACUCUACAUGUCACUAAAUCUUUCCUUAUUCAACAUUGGUUGUACAUUCACAUAUUUUAGUGGUGUACCAUAUAUAUACUCACUUGUAACUCUUAUAUGAGCAAUCUCUGUAUAUCAUUUUUUCAUAUUGCAUCCUUGAAUAUAAUAGCAUUAAUUUUAUCCUUCUGAUCAUUUGAUUUUUUUGUGUUUGCCUUCAAUUUUUCUUGAUAUUAGAUGGCUAUCUCCAUAGCCAAAUCUUAGAUCCACCACAUAUAUGUGGACUUCAAGAAUGUUUCCAAAUUGGAGAAAUAAAUAUUUAAUGUCCAUGAAUGAUAAAAAAACUAAGUGAAACAUUUCAAAUUUGAUAUUGUUCGACUCAAAAUGAGAUAGGUGGUUACACCAAUAAGAAAUCAUCAUGGUAUUUGCAUGUUUGUUGCUUCCUCUACUUAUUAGUCAUCGUAUUCAAUCCAAUCAUUGUGCCAUUCAUGAGUUUAUCAUGGUACAUAGAGCAAUAGCCACAUUAUUUUGUAAUUUUUUUUGCAAUGAAUGGGUGUUGAUCACCUAUAGAAAAUAAUGAUCUUUGCUAAGAGAGAAAAAAUAUAAAAUUUUAUCACCUACACUUUGAUUCAAUUCUUCCUUGCAAUAUUUCAGACCAUUACAAAACAUGAAACCAACUGAAAUAUACUCUUGCCAACAAAAACUAUCAAACUCAAGCUCAACACUUUGUUCUAGGCUUCAAGUCUACACAAAUUGAACAUGAACACAUAGCCCUAGCUUUAAUAAUCUACAUUUAGAAUCACUUGAACCCUAACCAACAAUAAGCUACUCAUUUAUUUAACAACCUUUCCCUUAUCACUAUGUUAACAAUAUUAAAAAAAAUAAAAAAUUCCUACCUUGAAAUUUAUAAUAUGACAUACAUCAAUCGAGAUAUUGAUCACACAGUCAAACAUUUUAAAGGUCUCCUAUACAAGAAGUGAUGAGGAAGAACCAUUUAGUACAUAAAUGUGCACUUCAAAUACAAUUCAACUAGAAUGAUUAAUAACGAAGACUCAAAUGCCCAAAACAACUCAACAUUCUAAAUAUCCCAAAACUAAAAAAUUAAAUCACAUUGCACCGUCAUCUAACCACCACACAUUGAUAACUCAAUUCCUCAAAAUAUUAAAAAAUAGAUGUUGCCCAAAUUUACCUUUUUGUACAUUUUGACCUUACUAGAAUGAUUAAUAACGAAGACUCAAAUGCCCAAAACAACUCAACAUUCUAAAUAUCCCAAAACUAAAAAAUUAAAUCACAUUGCACCGUCAUCUAACCACCACACAUUGAUAACUCAAUUCCUCAAAAUAUUAAAAAAUAGAUGUUACCCAAAUUUACCUUUUUGUACAUUUUGACCUUACUAGUCACACAUUGAAUUCUUAUACAUGCCAAUGGCUACCACCUUGAAGGGCUACCACCUUGAAGGGCUACCUUACUCAAGAUGCAUUGUAGAUCAAAAACCUAAUACAUUUCCUACCUUAAGAGAUUUAAGGUGUAGAAAUGCAAUUACAAACUAUGUGAAAUCCAAACAUAUAUUUAAAUAUGCAAAUAUUCCUAUUUUACAAAUUAAUAUUAUAAUUUAUCUUCAUACACAUUACUUUAUAGACAAGUAUACAUACAUUUUCUUAAAAAUAGAACUUUACAUUAUUUUAUUUUAAAACAUACACAAUCUUGCACAUAAUCCAUUUCAAUUUAGAACUUAAUUAAUUCAAUAGUUAUUAUUCUCAAACCCUAAUUUGCCGAUAGGCAAUUCCCUGUGGGGUUGCACCCCCACCGGAAUUGUCUCACACCGUGAAAAACGUCAAUUUCCCUUUGCCGCCGAAAUUUCCGUCACUUUCUCGCUGCCGCUGAAAUUUUAUCCGAUAAGUUUUCUGUGACAGCUCCCACAACGUGUGGUUAGGGUUUUUAUUCCAGGUGUAGUGGACAUUGAUGUGGUUACCUGCAUGCUGGUCGCGUUUUCAUUCCGAAGUGUAUCGCUGGCAAAGACCGCCUGAACCCAUCUACCGAUGAAUGAACAGAGAUGACUCCCAGGAAUUUAUGUUUAUAUUCUUGCAUCCGAUUUUUGGCAGAUUCAGUUCAGCUCUUCUUUUGCUUGAGCUGUGUUUCUUCUUAUAGGUUGAACAGCUAGCGUUUAACCUACCUUACCUCGUCGAGGAGCCAUUCUGAAACGUUCCUACUCAAACCCAGCUUCUAACUAUCUCCGGGUGGGUGUUCAUUCGGAAUAAAGUCCACCACAGCGUCGGGUUGCAGCAUUAAUAGUCUCGCCAUAGUUAAAAUUAUUGCUUUCCGUUGGUUAAUAUCCAAAAGCGAUGCAACAAAGUGAGGGGCAAGGAAUGAGCCUGGUAGCUGCCAUGUUUUAGGUUGAAGGUGUAGCACAACUUGAUGGCCGUAAACCUUGCAUUUGGGAUACUUAUACGCAUUCGGGUUAGUUACUUUUUGGAGGAGAAAAGGAAAUAUAGAAUUUGGAUGGGCGCAUUGAUCAUUUUGACAAAUAAAAGGGCUAAGUUAAAAGUGCAUGUACAGGGAAAAUGUUUGAUGGAAGCACAGGGGAUGUUACUGCAGAUCAAUACCACCAUUAUAAAUUAAUCUCGAUUACUCUUAUGCUUAAUUGGUUCUGGACCGCUGGUAAUUUUAAAUAAACUAUAUUCAUCAGCUUUAAGUUUGCUUACACGACUGCUGCAAACAAUUUUUCAGGAGGACGUCCGUCUGAUGUUUAAACUGGGAUUGGAUACAUACAGAUUUUCCAUCUCAUGGUCUCGACUAAUACCUGAUGGAAGGGGUGCCAUCAAUCCAAAGGGAUUGGAAUACUACAAUAAUCUCAUCAAUGGACUCAUUCUCGAUGGAUAAAGAAACUCAGAGGACUCUUGAUUUUCACAAUGGGUGGUUCAUAGAUCCCCUUUUCUUUGGAGACUAUCCUUCCAGCACGAAGAAGAAUGUAGGCUCCAGGCUGCCCAAUUUCACCAAAGAACAAUCUAAAAAGCUAAAGGGAUCUUUUGAUUUCGUUGGGUUGAAUCAUUACGGUACUUCCUAUGUUUCAGAUUCAUCUAGCCAGUGGAUUGCUGUUGAAAGAGAUUAUAUGAGAGAUUCAAGCUCAAAGCAAACAGUAAUGCGAGACGAACGAUGUCCCUAUUGGUAAGGUGCAGGCAUCCCCCAUAUUUUAACCAUACAAGUCCUUAUCACUCUAUUCACCUAACCUAAACUUAAGUUCUUUUUGUCUUUUAUUCGAUUAGGCUAAUAAUAGCUUAUGUUGUCUCUUCAUUAUGAAUGUGACACAUGGGGUUGAGAAUGGGAAUAGGAAUGUAUUUUCUAAUUUCUAGUGGAUUUGUUUCUUGCUAAGGGGAGAAAUGUUGUUUGAAGGCAAUGAAUCUUGAUUUGUCUUCAGGGUCUCAUCAUUGGCACAUGAGUUUCUUCUUCAUUGGGGGGAUUCUUAUCCUCAUUUUCUCUCUCUUAUAGGGGGACAUUUAUUGUACUAUUGUGAUGUUAGGGUAAAAGUACAAACUUGUGUCACUUUUAUAAAGGAAAAGGUUAACAACAACAAAACAGUUCAAUUUCAAUAGCACAAAAGUGAUAUUUCUAUUUGGUAUUUGAAGAUGAUGUAAACAGAUCAAAUGUGUAAAACUGAAUGAAGUUUAUGCCUAUU